Molecule: unclassified non-coding RNA, 323 nt
Filed under: soil metagenome
Description: partial contains 5.8S ribosomal RNA, internal transcribed spacer 2, and large subunit ribosomal RNA
Rfam family: 5.8S ribosomal RNA (bases 1-120)
Source: RNAcentral
GAUGAAGAACGUAGCGAAAUGCGAUAAGUAAUGUGAAUUGCAGAAUUCAGUGAAUCAUCGAAUCUUUGAACGCACAUUGCGCCCCUUGGUAUUCCGAGGGGCAUGCCUGUUCGAGCGUCAUUAUAACCCCUCAAGCUCAGCUUGGUGUUGGGGCCUGCUGCACUGGCAGCCCUUAAAAUCAGUGGCGGCGCCAUCUGGCUCUAAGCGUAGUAAUUCUUCUCGCUAUGGAGUCCUGGUGGAUGCUUGCCAUCAACCCCCAAUUUUUCUAUGGUUGACCUCGGAUCAGGUAGGGAUACCCGCUGAACUUAAGCAUAUCAAGAGGA